UACAUUCAAAGAGUGCGUAAUAGCUCACUAGUCGAGAGGUCCUGCGCCGAAAAUGAACCGGGGCUAAACACGACACCGAAGCUCAGGAAUCCGAAAGGAUUGGUAGAGGAGCAUUGCUGAAGCGACGAAGCAGUACCGAAAGGAGCUGUGGAGUUUCAGGAAGAGAGAAUGCCGGAAUGAGUAGCGAGAGAAAGGUGAGAAUCCUUUCGGCCGAAUAUCCAAGGUUUCCAGGGUAAAGCUGAUCUGCCCUGGGUAAGUCGGGGCCUAAGGCGAGGCAGAAAUGCGUAGUCGAUGGACAGCAGGUUGAGAUUCCUGCACCCGUAAUGAACAGAACUGUAGUGACACGGAAGGUAAGACAGAGCCGGGAAUGAGAAAACCGGUGCAAGCACAAUAGAUGUGCGGGAGGAAAAACCCCCGCAUAAGUCGAAGGUGUGAUGCGGACCGAAAAAGAGUAGGGAAGCUGUUAAGCAAGCCGUCAAGAAAAGCUGCUAUUGUUUCAUUAUGGCCCGUACCGUAAACCGACACAGGUGGAUGAGGAGAGAAUCCUAAGGCCGGCGGAAGAAGUAUUGUUAAGGAACUCGGCAAAAUGACCCCGUAACUUCGGGAGAAGGGGUGCCUGCGAGAGCAGGCCGCAGAGAAUAGGCUCAAGCAACUGUUUAGCAAAAACACAGGUCUAUGCGAAACCGAAAGGUGAGGUAUAUGGGCUGACGCCUGCCCGGUGCUGGAAGGUUAAGGGGAGUGGUCAGGAAACGAAGCCACGAACUUAAGCCCCAGUAAACGGCGGCCGUAACUAUAACGGUCCUAAGGUAGCGAAAUUCCUUGUCGGGUAAGUUCCGACCCGCACGAAAGGCGUAAUGAUUUGAGCGCUGUCUCGACAAUGCAUCCGGUGAAAUUGAAGUACCAGUGAAGAUGCUGGUUACCUGCGCCAGGACGGAAAGACCCCAUGGAGCUUUACUCCAGCUUGAUACUGGGACCCGGUAUUGCAUGUACAGGAUAGGUGGGAGGCAGAGAGAUGUGGACGCCAGUCUGCAUGGAGCCGCUGUUGGGAUACCACCCUUGUGGUGCUGGGUUUCUAACCAGAGGCCGUGAACCGGUCUGGGGACAAUGUCAGGUGGGGAGUUUGACUGGGGCGGUCGCCUCCGAAAGGGUAUCGGAGGCGCCCAAAGGUUCCCUCAGAAUGGUUGGAAACCAUUCGAAGAGUGCAAAGGCAGAAGGG
RNAcentral lists this ribosomal RNA (1216 nucleotides) under human gut metagenome. Its description in RNAcentral is "bacterial LSU rRNA". It matches the Rfam family "Bacterial large subunit ribosomal RNA", at positions 1118 to 2365 of the family's 2925-position model. The record is from RNAcentral.